RNAcentral lists this ribosomal RNA (497 nucleotides) under uncultured bacterium. Its description in RNAcentral is "partial 16S ribosomal RNA". It matches the Rfam family "Bacterial small subunit ribosomal RNA", at positions 28 to 507 of the family's 1533-position model. The record is from RNAcentral.
GAUGAACGCUGGCGGCGUGCCUAAUACAUGCAAGUCGAGCGAACGGACGAGAAGCUUGCUUCUCUGAUGUUAGCGGCGGACGGGUGAGUAACACGUGGAUAACCUACCUAUAAGACUGGGAUAACUUCGGGAAACCGGAGCUAAUACCGGAUAAUAUUUUGAACCGCAUGGUUCAAAAGUGAAAGACGGUCUUGCUGUCACUUAUAGAUGGAUCCGCGCUGCAUUAGCUAGUUGGUAAGGUAACGGCUUACCAAGGCAACGAUGCAUAGCCGACCUGAGAGGGUGAUCGGCCACACUGGAACUGAGGCACGGUCCCGGCUCCUACGGGAGGCAGCAGUAGGGAAUCUUCCGGAAUGGGCGGAAGCCUGACGGAGCAACGCCGCGUGGGGGAUGGAGGUCUUCGGAUCGUAAAACUCUGUUAUUAGGGAAGAACAUAUGUGUAAGUAACUGUGCACAUCUUGACGGUACCUAAUCAGAAAGCCACGGCUAACUACGUG